UGUACAUACAUUCUUAUAUAUAUUAAAAUACAUCAAUAUAAUAAUAUAUUAUAUCAUAGGUAUUAAAAAACAAAUUUAAUGAACUUAUAUCAUUUACUGUACUGUUUAUAAUCAUAUAACAGGACAUCAGACCUUUUCUCUUUUUCACUUGUCUCAAGAAUUUUCCAUGUAGCUGCUUGGAUCCUUUGAUUGCUCAUACCGAGGCUCUUAACGAAAUAAAAUAUCUAUGCUCGGGUAGGUGAAGGUGAUUUUUAGCACAGAUUUUAAUAUGAAGAUGCAAACCGAAAUUUUAUCUAAACAUUAUCUGUUCAGGCACACAAGCACUGUCACUUUCAUUUAAAAUCUAGAUUUUGCUUUUUAAAAUAGCAAACUCAUUUCGGACCACCUCAAAAUCCUGGUAUUAGAAGUUUCCCAUUUGCAGUCUGGGUAACGCUGAGCGGUUGUUUUUGAGCAGGUUUUGAUUGUAUGCAGGUAAACAGUGUGCAUGAAGAGUAAAGGAGAAAUGUGCUUGCUGAAAUGUGAUUGUCUGGUAAUGACGUAGCAUUCAAUUGCAUUUUACUUUACAUUUUAUCUGCAUUCAUGGGCUGUAAGCAAUGAACAGAACAGGAAGCCUGCAUCAGGAUAUGUGCUGGAAGCCCCGAAACACUGACUGCUGCCCCGAGAGAUUACAACACAAACAACAAAGCAAACAAACUAAAAAAUAAAAAAUAAAAAAAAUAAAAUAAAAUAAAAAUUGUGACAUGAUAUCAGUAAGCAUUUUGGAUUCACCAUAACAGGUUGUGAACAAAGGUAAGCCUGCUACAAAAACAUUACUAGCUACGUGGGUGGAGUUAGUCAUAGUAAACAAAUUCUGUAGUCCUAGUCAAACGUUAUAUUUUCAACAAGCACACACUGACAACGCUAAACAAGAAAGACUUAUACACUCACUUCAUAAACUAAAAGGAAAACUCUUUGCUGAGUGCACUGUGACUCUCCUACUUCCCAGUUCCAAAGUUCAGUUUCCAAACACUUCCUUGUGUUGCGCACACGAGGUGGACUCUGCCUUUGCACGAAUGAGCCACUGCUUGACUGGCAGAGCAGAAUUGAUAGGCUGCUAUUGUUUCCUUUUAAGGUCAAUUGUGUCUCAAAUGCUUGGCAUGUCUGAGAGUACAGCUGGCUGGCAGGAGAGAUAAAACACUAAUUUUACUACAUUCUUCUGCGCAGUCCACACCUAGGGAGAAAGGGGGAGGCAGAGACAGAGAGAGUAUUUAAAAGAAGUAGGGAUAUGAAAGAUUUGAGCUGGUUUGGAAAGAGAAAAGAAGAAAAAAAAAAGUAUAGUUAUGGUUAAAGAAUGAAAACAAGGUGAAGACUACAGGUUUGGCCAAGUGGGUGAGCACUUUGACAGGGGCAUCAAGCUUUGCUGUGCCCUUAUUUGACUGGGCAGUCAAAACACGUCACCACAGUGGGUAAACACGCACAUAUAUACAUGGAUGCCUACCCACACAGAACUAAACAUCUCCCAGGAUGAGAGACCAAAUCGCAUUUCAUUGCCUCAAAUUUGCAUGUUUGACUCCUUAGCUUAAAAUGCUAAAUAUUCUGCUCCAGAGUGAUGGAGACUGUGAGGUGGGGUGGGGGUGGGGAC
Astatotilapia calliptera (eastern happy) is the source of this 1621-nucleotide long non-coding RNA. The record is from Ensembl. NCBI's taxonomy places the organism in Eukaryota, Metazoa, Chordata, Actinopteri, Cichliformes, Cichlidae.